UACGGAAGGUCCAGGCGUUAUCCGGAUUUAUUGGGUUUAAAGGGAGCGCAGGCGGACCUUUAAGUCAGCUGUGAAAUACGGCGGCUCAACCGUCGAACUGCAGUUGAUACUGGAGGUCUUGAGUGCACACAGGGAUACUGGAAUUCAUGGUGUAGCGGUGAAAUGCUCAGAUAUCAUGAAGAACUCCGAUCGCGAAGGCAGGUAUCCGGGGUGCAACUGACGCUGAGGCUCGAAAGUGCGGGUAUCAAACAGGAUUAGAUACCCGGGUAGUCCGCUGAUAU
This 281-nucleotide ribosomal RNA is filed under the name Prevotellamassilia timonensis. Its description in RNAcentral is "partial 16S ribosomal RNA". It matches the Rfam family "Bacterial small subunit ribosomal RNA", at positions 524 to 805 of the family's 1533-position model. The record is from RNAcentral. Lineage: Bacteria; Pseudomonadati; Bacteroidota; Bacteroidia; Bacteroidales; Prevotellaceae.